This 1443-nucleotide unclassified non-coding RNA is filed under the name Yarrowia lipolytica. The record is from RNAcentral. Lineage: Eukaryota; Fungi; Ascomycota; Dipodascomycetes; Dipodascales.
AGCAGCCAAAAAGAAACAACAAGCCGAUUUUACCCUGUCCACCGAAUUGGCCGAUUAAACAGCGCAUUUCAACUCUUGCUAAACACAAUCUGCGGCUCCGAAAAACUGCCGAGACUCGCAGAUUCGAGAGUGGCGAUUGUCUGACUUCUGACAUGACACCCUCAGCCGUCAGUUCGAACCCUCCACGCAGAGUUUGAACUCAGAUGAGCAAAUGCCGGAUUUUGCCGUUUGCGAUUUAGUCGCGGGCACUGGUGACACCUUGUGUUGACAGUUGCCGUUACUCUCUGGCGCAGACUGGUAUUUCCCGUUCCAGUCUUGGUCAGGGUGUUUGAUCCGGUAACAGUUCGGUCACGAACACGCUUGAACGGAGAGAACACGCCAUAUGAUGGGAUGGGGUAGUAUGAGGGGUUCUGGGCGGUCUGAGUGGUCCUGGAAUGAUCUGAGUGGUCCUGGAGUGGUCUUAGUGGUCCUGGAGAGGUCCCAGUGUCCCUGGUGUGGUUAAUUCCGCAACUAGAGCUUGGCAUAACUAGCCAGAUAGAAUACGCGGUCCCUUUCACCUCGCCAGCUUGUUUCUCACUUUAUCAAUCUCCUUGCCCCGGUGGACACAUGUGCCGAGUGAGACAGUGCUGGAAUGAUGAUUGGAGAAUGACUGAAGUGCGGCCGGAGUACGACUGAAAGGGGUACACUGAAAGGCGACUGACGAGAUUGAAAAGAGACUGGUGAGGGCAGUAGUCCCUCAGAAUAGUCAUUUAUAACAGUCAGUCAUCCGGUCGCCCAGCCAGAUUGACGUCAUUAACUCAAGAUUGGCGUCUUUGACUCUCCGGUAGCCCGCCAUUGCCGCAUUAGCGCCAAUAAAGCACUGUCGCUCUCCAACGUACGGCGCGGGAAUACGAGCUGAUUGCGUGAACUGACCGUGUUGGGUGAUCAGCGGAGGACAAACGGAGAGACAGAUCAGUCGAGGCGUGACGGAUUCUAGUUUGCCAGACAACUCAAUCCAUUCUAAGCCCUAAGUGGGUUUAAAUGUCGAUUUGUGACAGAAUCGUGACGGUUACUGGUCGAUUUGGAGUUCAGUAUGCGAUAGUACCUCAGUCUUUGGAGACCACAUUAUCCUUCUUCCAAUUCUCCUUCUUCCUGUCCUCUACUCAUUCACAUUCCCUUAGGGCUUCAGAGCGACACUGAGUGCUGGACGUAUCCACAGAAUGCAACCGACUAUCAUCGGCCCGACUUUCUCGAGUGCAAAUCACCACAACUCAGCUAGUUUCAGCCACAGCACAACCAAAGCCACAGCCACAAACCCCAGCCACAUGAUUUAGAUUUCGCUAGAUUUGGUAAAUGCUGCGAUUCAGCUAAAUUUGAACUUUUAGCGAGAUUCAAAGUUUCAGAUGGUGGACUGUAUAUCUGAAAAAAGAAAAAAAGCGGCGAGAUAAGCGGUGGUGAUGGCUC